UCUGACAUGAAAUUUAGUUCUCUAACCUGCAAAUCAGAGAACUUAAUAUAAAUAACCAACAUCUGGGAUGCAGAACUUGCCUUGUCUCCGGAGUCGUCGCUGGAGUGGCCGGAGUCUUCGCCAGAGGAGUCGUCGUCACCGGAUUCGUUGCCGGAGUCGUCGCCGGAGUCGGAUGAAAUGAGGUCUACCACCUCAACGUCUUCGGCCUUCGGCACGACCACAUCGACAUCCGAGGAGGACCCGGAGCGCGUCGUCGGAGUCCACCCCCUUGGCGCUUGCGCGCGUGCACGGCUUCCUCCGCCGGGCCGAGGAAGACCCGGCCUCUCCCUGGCGCGCCAAGGAAGAAGCACAGGUCAACUUCACCCUACGGGCGCUCGCGGGCGCCUGUCUCUUCUCGCCGGAGCAGGAGAACCUCCCCCUAGAGUCGCGGUUGUAUGACCUACUGCCGGCCAUCUCGCCGGAACGGGAGGGGGAUGGAAGGUGUCGGGAGCUGAGAGGUUGGUGGCUCAGAUUUAUGAUGCUACUGCUCAUCUGUGAAAUAAAUUGAUAAAGCGACUUAGGGAUGAGUUUCGAACGGAAAUACUCAGGUAAUGCAAUGGUAUGGCAGUUAGGCUUGGGACACCGAUGUCACCGGUUAUGCUUUGUAUCUGUUAGCAUACUUUAAUUCUGAUGGCCACAUAUGUGUCAGUGGGAAAUGCAUUGCAGUGGUGUAUAAUUGAGUGAUAAAUUUUCUGGCC
RNAcentral lists this long non-coding RNA (737 nucleotides) under Setaria italica (foxtail millet). RNAcentral's name for it is "long non-coding RNA (SITA_LNC007542)". Lineage: Eukaryota; Viridiplantae; Streptophyta; Magnoliopsida; Poales; Poaceae. The record is from RNAcentral.